RNAcentral lists this ribosomal RNA (1444 nucleotides) under uncultured organism. RNAcentral describes it as "SSU rRNA". It matches the Rfam family "Bacterial small subunit ribosomal RNA". The record is from RNAcentral.
AACGCUAGCUACAGGCUUAACACAUGCAAGUCGAGGGGCAGCAUGGUCUUAGCUUGCUAAGGCCGAUGGCGACCGGCGCACGGGUGAGUAACACGUAUCCAACCUGCCGUCUACUCUUGGACAGCCUUCUGAAAGGAAGAUUAAUACAAGAUGGCAUCAUGAGUCCGCAUGUUCACAUGAUUAAAGGUAUUCCGGUAGACGAUGGGGAUGCGUUCCAUUAGAUAGUAGGCGGGGUAACGGCCCACCUAGUCUUCGAUGGAUAGGGGUUCUGAGAGGAAGGUCCCCCACAUUGGAACUGAGACACGGUCCAAACUCCUACGGGAGGCAGCAGUGAGGAAUAUUGGUCAAUGGGCGAGAGCCUGAACCAGCCAAGUAGCGUGAAGGAUGACUGCCCUAUGGGUUGUAAACUUCUUUUAUAAAGGAAUAAAGUCGGGUAUGGAUACCCGUUUGCAUGUACUUUAUGAAUAAGGAUCGGCUAACUCCGUGCCAGCAGCCGCGGUAAUACGGAGGAUCCGAGCGUUAUCCGGAUUUAUUGGGUUUAAAGGGAGCGUAGAUGGAUGUUUAAGUCAGUUGUGAAAGUUUGCGGCUCAACCGUAAAAUUGCAGUUGAUACUGGAUAUCUUGAGUGCAGUUGAGGCAGGCGGAAUUCGUGGUGUAGCGGUGAAAUGCUUAGAUAUCACGAAGAACUCCGAUCGCGAAGGCAGCCUGCUAAGCUGCAACUGACAUUGAGGCUCGAAAGUGUGGGUAUCAAACAGGAUUAGAUACCCUGGUAGUCCACACGGUAAACGAUGAAUACUCGCUGUUUGCGAUAUACUGCAAGCGGCCAAGCGAAAGCGUUAAGUAUUCCACCUGGGGAGUACGCCGGCAACGGUGAAACUCAAAGGAAUUGACGGGGGCCCGCACAGGCGGAGGAACAUGUGGUUUAAUUCGAUGAUACGCGAGGAACCUUACCCGGGCUUAAAUUGCAGAUGAAUUACGGUGAAAGCCGUAAGCCGCAAGGCAUCUGUGAAGGUGCUGCAUGGUUGUCGUCAGCUCGUGCCGUGAGGUGUCGGCUUAAGUGCCAUAACGAGCGCAACCCUUGUUGUCAGUUACUAACAGGUUCCGCUGAGGACUCUGACAAGACUGCCAUCGUAAGAUGUGAGGAAGGUGGGGAUGACGUCAAAUCAGCACGGCCCUUACGUCCGGGGCUACACACGUGUUACAAUGGGGGGUACAGAGGGCCGCUACCACGCGAGUGGAUGCCAAUCCCCAAAACCUCUCUCAGUUCGGACUGGAGUCUGCAACCCGACUCCACGAAGCUGGAUUCGCUAGUAAUCGCGCAUCAGCCACGGCGCGGUGAAUACGUUCCCGGGCCUUGUACACACCGCCCGUCAAGCCAUGGGAGCCGGGGGUACCUGAAGUGCGUAACCGCGAGGAGCGCCCUAGGGUAAAACUGGUGACUGGGG